Molecule: long non-coding RNA, 722 nt
Organism: Piliocolobus tephrosceles (Ugandan red Colobus)
Lineage: Eukaryota; Metazoa; Chordata; Mammalia; Primates; Cercopithecidae
Source: Ensembl
AAAGAAUAUUAAAAAAUAUAUUUUUUUUUUUUACUUUUUAAGUGUAUGUUAUGUUAUACGUGCAUACACAUAUAUAUGUGUAUAUUACUAUCACAAUUAUAGACUAUAAAAUUAUCAAACGAAAUAAAACAAGAUAUUAAACUGGCCAGAGUAAUUAAAUCACAUUAUCCUAGAGGAAUAGUUGGUGUUGAUUCUGUAUAUAAUGAAAACACUGUGUUAUAUAAAGACAAGUAUGAAGAAAUUAAAAAUAAAGAAAAAUAUAAAAAUAAAAUAUCUCAAGAACGAAGGGAAGCGCUUCAAAAACAAAAUAACAGAAAUGGUGAUAUACUAGCUUUUGAUCCUACUAGUAAAACGUAAAUCCCCAACUAAACCGUUACUGAUGAAUGUUUUUUUUUUCUUUUUUUUUUUUUUAAUAUUAACAAAAGAUAUGGAAAUAUAUGCAUACAUCUAUGUGUAAUUUACGUAUUUUACUACAUCCAUCAAUAUGAUUUUAUAAAAAAGAGUGUACAUUUAUAAAUUUUUUAUUAUUUGUUUAACAAUAAUUGGACAAACUAUAUAUUGUGAAUUUUUUUAAAUUAUUUGAUUUUAUUUUUAAUACUGCAUUUGUAUAUAUAUUUUUAUAUUAUUUCGUUUAUCAAAUUAAACAUUACAAGUAAGCAACUAUGGAAAAUAUAUAUAUAUAUAUGAAUAAAACACAAAAAAAAAAAAAAAAAAGUUAUUUU